GUCUUAACCGGGCGUUAAGUUGCAGGGUAUAGACCCGAAACCCGGUGAUCUAGCCAUGGGCAGGUUGAAGGUUGGGUAACACUAACUGGAGGACCGAACCGACUAAUGUUGAAAAAUUAGCGGAUGACCUGUGGCUGGGGGUGAAAGGCCAAUCAAACCGGGAGAUAGCUGGUUCUCCCCGAAAGCUAUUUAGGUAGCGCCUCGUGAAUUCAUCUCCGGGGGUAGAGCACUGUUUCGGCUAGGGGGCCAUCCCGGCUUACCAACCCGAUGCAAACUGCGAAUACCGGAGAAUGUUAUCACGGGAGACACACGGCGGGUGCUAACGUCCGUCGUGAAGAGGGAAACAACCCAGACCGCCAGCUAAGGUCCCAAAGUCAUGGUUAAGUGGGAAACGAUGUGGGAAGGCCCAGACAGCCAGGAUGUUGGCUUAGAAGCAGCCAUCAUUUAAAGAAAGCGUAAUAGCUCACUGGUCGAGUCGGCCUGCGCGGAAGAUGUAACGGGGCUAAACCAUGCACCGAAGCUGCGGCAGCGACACUGUGUGUUGUUGGGUAGGGGAGCGUUCUGUAAGCCUGUGAAGGUGUGUCGUGAGGCAUGCUGGAGGUAUCAGAAGUGCGAAUGCUGACAUAAGUAACGAUAAAGCGGGUGAAAAGCCCGCUCGCCGGAAGACCAAGGGUUCCUGUCCAACGUUAAUCGGGGCAGGGUGAGUCGACCCCUAAGGCGAGGCCGAAAGGCGUAGUCGAUGGGAAACGGGUUAAUAUUCCCGUACUUGGUGUUACUGCGAAGGGGGGACGGAGAAGGCUAUGUUGGCCGGGCGACGGUUGUCCCGGUUUAAGUGUGUAGGUGUGUGUUCCAGGUAAAUCCGGUUCACUUUAACACUGAGGCGUGACGACGAGGCACUACGGUGCUGAAGCAACAAAUGCCCUGCUUCCAGGAAAAGCCUCUAAGCAUCAGGUAACAUCAAAUCGUACCCCAAACCGACACAGGUGGUCAGGUAGAGAAUACCAAGGCGCUUGAGAGAACUCGGGUGAAGGAACUAGGCAAAAUGGUGCCGUAACUUCGGGAGAAGGCACGCUGACACGUAGGUGAAGUGAUUUACUCAUGGAGCUGAAGUCAGUCGAAGAUACCAGCUGGCUGCAACUGUUUAUUAAAAACACAGCACUGUGCAAACACGAAAGUGGACGUAUACGGUGUGACGCCUGCCCGGUGCCGGAAGGUUAAUUGAUGGGGUCAGCGCAAGCGAAGCUCCUGAUCGAAGCCCCGGUAAACGGCGGCCGUAACUAUAACGGUCCUAAGGUAGCGAAAUUCCUUGUCGGGUAAGUUCCGACCUGCACGAAUGGCGUAAUGAUGGCCAGGCUGUCUCCACCCGAGACUCAGUGAAAUUGAACUCGCUGUGAAGAUGCAGUGUACCCGCGGCAAGACGGAAAGACCCCGUGAACCUUUACUAUAGCUUGACACUGAACAUUGAGCCUUGAUGUGUAGGAUAGGUGGGAGGCUUUGAAGUGUGGACGCCAGUCUGCAUGGAGCCGACCUUGAAAUACCACCCUUUAAUGUUUGAUGUUCUAACGUGGACCCGUUACCCGGGUUGCGGACAGUGUCUGGUGGGUAGUUUGACUGGGGCGGUCUCCUCCUAAAGAGUAACGGAGGAGCACGAAGGUUGGCUAAUCCUGGUCGGACAUCAGGAGGUUAGUGCAAUGGCAUAAGCCAGCUUGACUGCGAGCGUGACGGCGCGAGCAGGUGCGAAAGCAGGUCAUAGUGAUCCGGUGGUUCUGAAUGGAAGGGCCAUCGCUCAACGGAUAAAAGGUACUCCGGGGAUAACAGGCUGAUACCGCCCAAGAGUUCAUAUCGACGGCGGUGUUUGGCACCUCGAUGUCGGCUCAUCACAUCCUGGGGCUGAAGUAGGUCCCAAGGGUAUGGCUGUUCGCCAUUUAAAGUGGUACGCGAGCUGGGUUUAGAACGUCGUGAGACAGUUCGGUCCCUAUCUGCCGUGGGCGCUGGAGAACUGAGGGGGGCUGCUCCUAGUACGAGAGGACCGGAGUGGACGCAUCACUGGUGUUCGGGUUGUCAUGCCAAUGGCACUGCCCGGUAGCUAAAUGCGGAAGAGAUAAGUGCUGAAAGCAUCUAAGCACGAAACUUGCCCCGA
Molecule: ribosomal RNA, 2140 nt
Filed under: Salmonella enterica subsp. enterica serovar Enteritidis
Lineage: Bacteria; Pseudomonadati; Pseudomonadota; Gammaproteobacteria; Enterobacterales; Enterobacteriaceae
Description: partial 23S ribosomal RNA
Rfam family: Bacterial large subunit ribosomal RNA
Source: RNAcentral